CACUCCUAACAACCUUCAGAACUGCCCAGAAAGCAAUUCCAGGGGAUUUUGCAGCCUUGUUGAGUUUGCAGAGAAGAACACAUCGGAAGCAUAGCAGCACCUGAGUUCAUCCAGUUCUGGGAUGGCAGAUCUCCAAACUACAGAAAAAGAGCAGCAUCUAAAAGGAAAGUAUAGAAGAUGACAACACAGCAAGUGCUUCUGAACUCUGCUUCUG
Pogona vitticeps (central bearded dragon) is the source of this 214-nucleotide non-coding RNA. Lineage: Eukaryota; Metazoa; Chordata; Lepidosauria; Squamata; Agamidae. The record is from RefSeq and is a predicted model, not a curated record.